RNAcentral lists this ribosomal RNA (588 nucleotides) under Triticum aestivum (bread wheat). Its description in RNAcentral is "partial small subunit ribosomal RNA". The record is from RNAcentral. Lineage: Eukaryota; Viridiplantae; Streptophyta; Magnoliopsida; Poales; Poaceae.
AUGCAGUCGCCAACAGCAACAACUGGUCCGCGCGGACUCGAUCGGUCGGGCUGCAGCGGCAGAAGUAGGUGGCGGGCGAAGGCAGCGGCAGGUGGCAGACGGACGGCAGCGGCAGCAACAGGAUCCCGCCACCGGGGAAGACCCGCGUGGCCCUGCCUGACAAAGUCAGGGAGAGGGGAGCGGCGGCUGGGGUUGCUGCAGGCACGAGGAACCUGCGCCGGCGAGGAGAGCGACGACGAGGAGGCGCCCGUCGAGGAGGAUGCCGCCUUGGAGGAGCAGCUACAGUCGGGGUCGGGCUCCUCGGAGGAGCAGCCGCAGUCGGGGUCGGGCUCCUCGAUGAUGCAGGCGGCGCCGGCGCUGGAGGCGAUGAUGCUGCCCCGCUCGCCGGCCGUGCUCGAGCCCCUCAAUCCCCUCCUCGAGCCCCUCGAUCUCCUCCCUCCUCCGGGACACGGAUGUGCUGCUCCUGUCCCUCGACGACGCGGCCGUCCUCCUCGGCGAUCUCGUGGCCGACAGCGGUGGCGAAGUCCACGGGCAGGUCAGCGGGGCGGUGGGAGAGCGCGGCCAGGGCCUCGCUGUUGGGGAACGUAG